GCAGCCGCGGUAAUACGUAGGUCGCAAGCGUUGUCCGGAUUUACUGGGUGUAAAGGGCGUGUAGGCGGAGAUGCAAGUCAGAUGUGAAAUUUCGGGGCUCAACCCCGAACCUGCAUUUGAAACUGUAUCCCUUGAGUGUCGGAGAGGCAAGCGGAAUUCCUAGUGUAGCGGUGAAAUGCGUAGAUAUUAGGAGGAACACCAGUGGCGAAGGCGGCUUGCUGGACGAUAACUGACGCUGAGGCGCGAAAGCGUGGGGAGCAAACAGGAUUAGAUACCCC
RNAcentral lists this ribosomal RNA (278 nucleotides) under uncultured Oscillospiraceae bacterium. Its description in RNAcentral is "partial 16S ribosomal RNA". It matches the Rfam family "Bacterial small subunit ribosomal RNA", at positions 511 to 788 of the family's 1533-position model. The record is from RNAcentral. Lineage: Bacteria; Bacillati; Bacillota; Clostridia; Eubacteriales; Oscillospiraceae.